This 29-nucleotide transfer RNA is filed under the name Potamogeton octandrus. Its description in RNAcentral is "partial tRNA-Leu". The record is from RNAcentral. Lineage: Eukaryota; Viridiplantae; Streptophyta; Magnoliopsida; Alismatales; Potamogetonaceae.
AAAAUCCGUCGACUUUAGAAGUCGUGAGG